RNAcentral lists this unclassified non-coding RNA (387 nucleotides) under soil metagenome. Its description in RNAcentral is "partial contains 5.8S ribosomal RNA, internal transcribed spacer 2, and large subunit ribosomal RNA". The stretch from base 1 to 120 matches the Rfam family "5.8S ribosomal RNA", at positions 35 to 154 of the family's 154-position model. The record is from RNAcentral.
GAUGAAGAACGCAGCGAAAUGCGAUAAGUAAUGUGAAUUGCAGAAUUCAGUGAAUCAUCGAAUCUUUGAACGCACCUUGCGCUCCUUGGUAUUCCGAGGAGCAUGCCUGUUUGAGUGUCAUGAAAUUCUCAACCUUUUCAGCUUUCUUUGUUGAUCAGGCUUGGAUGUGGGAGUAUGUGGGCUUCUCAGAAGUCGGCUCUCCUGAAAUGCAUUAGCGGGACCUUUGUUGCCUGGCUUUGGUGUGAUAAUUAUCUACGCCAUUGUAGUCAAGCAGCUUAAAAUGAGGUUUCAGCUUCUAACCGUCUCCCCUGAGACAACUUUUUGACAAUUUGACCUCAAAUCAGGUAGGACUACCCGCUGAACUUAAGCAUACCAAUAAGCGGAGGA